RNAcentral lists this ribosomal RNA (753 nucleotides) under uncultured bacterium. Its description in RNAcentral is "bacterial SSU rRNA". It matches the Rfam family "Bacterial small subunit ribosomal RNA", at positions 93 to 837 of the family's 1533-position model. The record is from RNAcentral.
UAGUGGCGAACGGGUGAGUAACAUGUGGGUAACCUGCCCUUAAAUGGGGAAUAACUUCGAGAAAUCGGAGCUAAUACCGCAUGAUGUUCCGUUUCAUAAGGAACGGGACCAAAGGUCCUGUAAGGGACUGUUUAAGGAUGGGCCCGCAACCUAUUAGCUUGUUGGUAGGGUAACGGCCUACCAAGGCCACGAUGGGUAGCCGACCUGAGAGGGUAGACGGCCACACUGGGAUUGAGAUACGGCCCAGACUCCUACGGGAGGCAGCAGUGGGGAAUUUUGGACAAUGGGGGAAACCCUGAUCCAGCGACGCCGCGUGAGGGAUGAAGGCCUUCGGGUUGUAAACCUCUGUCAGAGAGAACGAAUUAGCUCCGAUUCUGUCGGAGCAGGACGGUACCCUCAGAGGAAGCCACGGCUAACUCCGUGCCAGCAGCCGCGGUAAUACGGAGGUGGCAAGCGUUAUCCGGAUUCAUUGGGCAUAAAGGGCGUGUAGGUGUCUCCAUAAGUCGGAUGUGAAAUCCUUCUGCUCAACAGAAGAACGGCAUUCGAAACUGUGGGGAUUGAGUACAGGAGAGGAGAGUGGAAUUCCUGGUGUAGCGGUGAAAUGCGUAGAUAUCAGGAGGAACACCGGUGGCGAAGGCGACUCUCUGGCCUGAUACUGACACUGAAACGCGAAAGCUAGGGGAGCAAACAGGAUUAGAUACCCUGGUAGUCCUAGCCGUAAACGAUGCUCACUAGGUGUGGGAGGUGUUAAUU